UAGGGAAUCUUCGGCAUUGGACGGAAGUCUGACCGAGCAACGCCGCGUGAGUGAAGAAGGUUUUCGGAUCGUAAAGCUCUGUUGUAAGAGAAGAACGAGUGUGAGAGUGGAAAGUUCACACUGUGACGGUAUCUUACCAGAAAGGGACGGCUAACUACGUGCCAGCAGCCGCGGUAAUACGUAGGUCCCGAGCGUUGUCCGGAUUUAUUGGGCGUAAAGCGAGCGCAGGCGGUUAGAUAAGUCUGAAGUUAAAGGCUGUGGCUUAACCAUAGUACGCUUUGGAAACUGUUUAACUUGAGUGCAAGAGGGGAGAGUGGAAUUCCAUGUGUAGCGGUGAAAUGCGUAGAUAUAUGGAGGAACACCGGUGGCGAAAGCGGCUCUCUGGCUUGUAACUGACGCUGAGGCUCGAAAGCGUGGGGAGCAAACAGGAUUAGAUACCCUGGUAGUCCACGCCGUAAACGAUGAGUGCUAGGUGUUAGACCCUUUCCGGGGUUUAGUGCCGUAGCUAACGCAUUAAGCACUCCGCCUGGGGAGUACGACCGCAAGGUUG
Molecule: ribosomal RNA, 550 nt
Filed under: uncultured bacterium
Lineage: Bacteria
Description: bacterial SSU rRNA
Rfam family: Bacterial small subunit ribosomal RNA
Source: RNAcentral